RNAcentral lists this unclassified non-coding RNA (1813 nucleotides) under Daphnia pulex (common water flea). RNAcentral's name for it is "importin subunit alpha-1b-like, transcript variant X4". The record is from RNAcentral. Lineage: Eukaryota; Metazoa; Arthropoda; Branchiopoda; Diplostraca; Daphniidae.
AACUGGAAAUUCGUCUGCUCACUCACAGUCACAAGUCAACAACAUUUCAACACCUCACCCAUCACUUAGCAGUUAGCAGUUACUUUCAGUUCAAAUAAGAUUACUUUGCACUCUAAACCUAUUUAUAGCAUUUCCGACACGGCAACAACUACAGCGCACUUUUUGUCACCAAUAUCACCAAUAACCGCCUUCUUCAUCUUAUUGAAUAAAAUACUAUGGAGAUGUGUAAAAAUUAUCUUACGGCUGCAGCCAACUUGAAAAUUGAGGGCAUAGUUAAUGAUAUCAACAGCGGUGAUGAAAACGAAAUAAUUACUGCACUCCGUGCACUUAAGAUUUUCACCAAGAAAUGUUAUUGGGGCAAAAGAGGCAUCCAUAUCAAUGCAGAUUAUUCAAAUGUUAUUCCCAAGCUGGUUCAAUUCCUCAGUAGUGUCGACAAACCUGAUCUUCAGAUGGAUUCAGCCGAGGUUCUCACCAACAUUGCGUCAGGCACAUCUGAUCAGGCCAAAGCAGUUGUCAGUGCUGGGGCUGUGGCUGGGAUCAUUUCUAUGGCGUGUUCACUUGAUCCACGUGUGGCUGAGAGUGCUGGUUGUGAUCUCGCAUGGCUUGCCUCAAAAAGACAAGAGCUAUGUGAGGAAAUCAUCAAGCCGUUGCUAAUGUUGAUUAAACCCGACUCUCCAGUUACAUUAUUGCAAAGAGUCAUAUACGCUUUGAUCACCUUUUGUCAAUUUAUCAAUAUAAAUCCACCCACUUUCAUUCUUCCCGCCCUGGCCCACAGUCCACCCACUUUCAUUCUUCCCGCCCUGGCCCACCUUCUCCACCACAACGACGAGACGAUCAUCACCGAUGCUUGCCAUGCUUUUAUUUAUUUUCAAGGCUCCGACGAAGUAAUUCAAGAAGUUGUCAACGCCGGAGUCGUCCCUCGGCUCGUCGCUCUAUUGCAAGACAGAGAAGUUGCCAUCGUCCCCUGUCCGAAUCAUUGCGCGAUCUUCUCCAUUUUGAGAACUAUCGGCAAUAUUACUUCAGGCACAUUUGAUCAAGCCAAAGCUGUUGUAAGUGCUGGGGCUGUUACUCCCUUAAUUUCUUUUUUGGGUUCACAUCGAGAUGUGGCCGAGGAAGCUCUAUUUGCUCUCAGUAAUAUUGCCGGUUUUGGACCAGAGCUUAGAAAUUGUGUUUUCGAGCAAGGCAUCAAUAGGCCUUUGCUCUCAUUGAUUAAACCCGACAGUCCAGACAUAAAAUUAUUGCGCAUGGUCACUUGGACUUUGUGCAGCUUAUGUCAUAGUCAUGAGGAGAGUCCACUUACUGUCCCUGUCAUUCAACAGCUUCUUACCGGCCUGGCCCAUCUUAGCCACCACAACAACGACGAUGAAAUUCUCACCGCCGCUUGCAAGGCUCUUUCGAACCUCGAGAUGAACAUCGUUGAGAACAAGAAGGCAGCCGCAAUCGAAUCUGACAUUACUGCCCUCAAUGCCUUAAGUUCCAAAACGCUGGCUAUACUGGAGCGGUACUUAUUCCCCACAGAAUUGUCCAAUGGAGAGUCCAAGUUGGCGCCAUCAACAUCGUAGAUAGAGUGGCAAUUACGAAUUCAGAAACCAGCCAUCUCAAGCCCCCUGAAGUUUUUAUGCAUGAGAAUUUGUAUGUAUUGUUCACUUCCUUCAACGCUAUCUUCAUCAUAAGUUUUGGCCUUUUAAAGUUUCAUUUCCCACAUUGCAUUUAAAUCGCAAGUUGCCAUUUGCUUUCAUUCAUGUCCAUGCACGAUCUUCUUUCCUCUUUCUCAAUGCGCGAUAAACGAGCAAUACAAAACAACUCGAUCAAC